CGCGCGGGCUCGCGGCCGUGCUGCGGGCGUGGCCUCAGCCGCUGAGACCCUGGGGACCGCAGGGCGUGGCGCGGCCUCCGCCCGCUGCACGGAGAGCCCCCCAGAGGCAGCGACACGGCGCUUGGGGUCCGCGGGGCUCCUCCUCCAACUCCGCAGACCUCCGGGGAGGCCUCUUGCUCCCCGAACACCCGGGAGUUCGCUUUCAUUUUUAACGAAUCUCCACAAUCUCUUGUUUGGGAGAUAAUUGCUUCUUUCAGGGGCUUGGAGAACAAAAGCGUCAGCCCAGGGCCCCAGGUCUCUCCGCGGGAGGAGGGCACCCAGGGGCGAUGCGCCGGGCUCUCUCCUUCGCCCUUCUUGGCCCGCUCGCCUUCAGCUCCCACCCGCAGCAGCAACCGCAGCCUGCUUCCGGGGACUGAGCAGCCCUGGGUCAGCCAAGUGUCCUCCCAGCUGCAGCUCAUUGCACUCCCUUGCAGCUGGGAGUGCAGCUGGCAUGCUGCUAGCUCACUGGUCUGGCCCUUCCACUGGAACCCAGCAAGUUUUCUGUGCUUUUUUUCACCACUCU
Long non-coding RNA from Homo sapiens (human), 562 nucleotides. Lineage: Eukaryota; Metazoa; Chordata; Mammalia; Primates; Hominidae. The record is from Ensembl.